AAGAGGUGCAAACUUCUAGUAAUAAAAUAACUUCUCUCAGGUAGAAUCUGAAGUCAUUUAUUGAAGACUUUUCAUCUUGUUCUUUGUUGGUGGUGAGUGCUAGACAUCUCCUGCUUCAUCAUCAUCAUCAUCGUCAUCAUCGUCAUCAUCAUCAUCGUCAUCGUCAUCCUCCAAUGAAAUCAGCUACAAAUGUUUUUAAUUAUUGGAAUCAUCAGUAUUACUACCGUUUAUGGAGGAACUGCUAUGAAGCCUGUUCUCUGCUAAAAUGUUUGCUAACAUUUUAUAUUUACAACUCUUUAAGGUAAAUCCUACACUGAAAGAAAGAAAAUAUCAACCCAAAGUCUUUAAUCAAGCAUGUAUUAAGAGUGCUAAAAUGUGGGGAGUAGCUUAAGAUGAGUGUUCUGCGGGAAGCA
Molecule: long non-coding RNA, 413 nt
Organism: Leopardus geoffroyi (Geoffroy's cat)
Lineage: Eukaryota; Metazoa; Chordata; Mammalia; Carnivora; Felidae
Exons: 3
Source: RefSeq, a predicted model, not a curated record